UACGUAGUGGGCAAGCGUUGUCCGGAAUCAUUGGGCGUAAAGAGCGCGUAGGCGGUCCGGUAAGUCGGUUGUGAAAACUGGGGGCUCAACCCUCAGAGGCCGACCGAUACUGCCGGGCUAGAGUCCGGAAGAGGCGAGUGGAAUUCCUGGUGUAGCGGUGAAAUGCGCAGAUAUCAGGAGGAACACCAAUGGCGAAGGCAGCUCGCUGGGACGGUACUGACGCUGAGGCGCGAAAGCGUGGGGAGCGAACAGG
RNAcentral lists this ribosomal RNA (253 nucleotides) under uncultured bacterium. Its description in RNAcentral is "partial 16S ribosomal RNA". It matches the Rfam family "Bacterial small subunit ribosomal RNA", at positions 524 to 776 of the family's 1533-position model. The record is from RNAcentral.